CAGCAGUCGCCGCGGGAAUACGAAGGGGGCUAGCGUUACUCGGAAUUACUGGGCGUAAAGGGCGCGUAGGCGGCACGAUUAGUCAGGCGUGAAAUUCCUGGGCUCAACCUGGGGACUGCGCUUGAUACGGUCGAGCUAGAGGAUGGAAGAGGGUCGUGGAAUUCCCAGUGUAGAGGUGAAAUUCGUAGAUAUUGGGAAGAACACCGGUGGCGAAGGCGGCGACCUGGUCCAUUACUGACGCUGAGGCGCGACAGCGUGGGGAGCAAACAGGAUUAGAUACCCCUGUAGUCCCUGUCUCUUAUAC
This 304-nucleotide ribosomal RNA is filed under the name uncultured bacterium. Its description in RNAcentral is "partial 16S ribosomal RNA". It matches the Rfam family "Bacterial small subunit ribosomal RNA", at positions 509 to 807 of the family's 1533-position model. The record is from RNAcentral.